RNAcentral lists this ribosomal RNA (468 nucleotides) under uncultured bacterium. Its description in RNAcentral is "partial 16S ribosomal RNA". It matches the Rfam family "Bacterial small subunit ribosomal RNA", at positions 28 to 507 of the family's 1533-position model. The record is from RNAcentral.
GACGAACGCUGGCGGCGUGCUUAACACAUGCAAGUCGAACGGAAAGGCCCUGCUUUUGUUGGGUGCUCGAGUGGCGAACGGGUGAGUAACACGUGAGUAACCUGCCCUUGACUUUGGGAUAACUUCAGGAAACUGGGGCUAAUACCUGAUAGGAGCUCCUGCUGCAUGGUGGGGGUUGGAAAGUUUCGGCGGUUGGGGAUGGACUCGCGGCUUAUCAGCUUGUUGGUGGGGUAGUGGCUUACCAAGGCUUUGACGGGUAGCCGGCCUGAGAGGGUGACCGGCCACAUUGGGACUGAGAGACGGCCCAGACUCCUACGGGAGGCAGCAGUGGGGAAUAUUGCACAAUGGGCGGAAGCCUGAUGCAGAAACGCCGCGUGCGGGAUGACGGCCUUCGGGUUGUAAACCGCUUUCGCCUGUGACGAAGCGUGAGUGACGGUAAUGGGUAAAGAAGCACCGGCUAACUACGUG